This 468-nucleotide ribosomal RNA is filed under the name uncultured bacterium. RNAcentral describes it as "partial 16S ribosomal RNA". It matches the Rfam family "Bacterial small subunit ribosomal RNA", at positions 28 to 507 of the family's 1533-position model. The record is from RNAcentral.
GACGAACGCUGGCGGCGUGCUUAACACAUGCAAGUCGAACGGAAAGGCCCUGCUUUUGUGGGGUGCUCGAGUGGCGAACGGGCGAGUAACACGUGAGUAACCUGCCCUUGACUUUGGGAUAACUUCAGGAAACUGGGGCUAAUACCGGAUAGGAGCUCCUGCUGCAUGGUGGGGGUUGGAAAGUUUCGGCGGUUGGGGAUGGACUCGCGGCUUAUCAGCUUGUUGGUGGGGUAGUGGCUUACCAAGGCUUUGACGGGUAGCCGGCCUGAGAGGGUGACCGGCCACAUUGGGACUGAGAUGCGGCCCAGACUCCUACGGGAGGCAGCAGUGGGGAAUAUUGCACAAUGGGCGGAAGCCUGAUGCAGCAACGCCGCGUGCGGGAUGACGGCCUUCGGGUUGUAAACCGCUUUCGCCUGUGACGAAGCGUGAGUGACGGUAAUGGGUAAAGAAGCACCGGCUAACUACGUG